UCUCCGUAGGUGAACCUGCGGAGGGAUCAUUACAGUAGUUGUCUUGAACAACGUUAACCCAUGUGAACUUACCUUUGUUGCCUCGGCCGUCUCCGCGGUCGUGGUUCUGGGCUUAGCCCAGGCCACGCCGCGCCGGCCAGCGGGCCAACUAAAACUCUUGAAUAACGAUGAAAUCUGAGCGUAUUGAUUUUAACGAGUCAAAACUUUCAACAACGGAUCUCUUGGUUCUGGCAUCGAUGAAGAACGCAGC
Molecule: unclassified non-coding RNA, 250 nt
Filed under: uncultured fungus
Lineage: Eukaryota; Fungi
Description: sequence contains ITS1, 5.8S rRNA gene
Rfam family: 5.8S ribosomal RNA (bases 202-250)
Source: RNAcentral